Molecule: long non-coding RNA, 108 nt
Organism: Sebastes umbrosus (honeycomb rockfish)
Lineage: Eukaryota; Metazoa; Chordata; Actinopteri; Perciformes; Sebastidae
Exons: 3
Source: RefSeq, a predicted model, not a curated record
UGUUUCUAAAUUAGAUUAUUAACUGGCUACUUGUGAAACAAUUCGGUCGUACACAUCAUCUCUCAACUCCAGUCUUGCAUCUCAAGUUGCUAAUCGGACUGUAAACAA